UGGGUUGGCCAACAAGUUCGUUCGGAUUUUUCUGUAACCUCUUUCGGAACUUUUUGGCCAACCCA
RNAcentral lists this microRNA precursor (65 nucleotides) under Tursiops truncatus (common bottlenose dolphin). Its description in RNAcentral is "miRNA (ENSTTRG00000024824.1)". The record is from RNAcentral. Lineage: Eukaryota; Metazoa; Chordata; Mammalia; Artiodactyla; Delphinidae.